Molecule: transfer RNA, 108 nt
Organism: Gonium pectorale
Lineage: Eukaryota; Viridiplantae; Chlorophyta; Chlorophyceae; Chlamydomonadales; Volvocaceae
Rfam family: tRNA
About the family: Transfer RNA (tRNA) molecules are approximately 80 nucleotides in length. Their secondary structure includes four short double-helical elements and three loops (D, anti-codon, and T loops). Further hydrogen bonds mediate the characteristic L-shaped molecular structure. tRNAs have two regions of fundamental functional importance: the anti-codon, which is responsible for specific mRNA codon recognition, and the 3' end, to which the tRNAs corresponding amino acid is attached (by aminoacyl-tRNA synthetases). tRNAs cope with the degeneracy of the genetic code in two manners: having more than one tRNA (with a specific anti-codon) for a particular amino acid; and 'wobble' base-pairing, i.e. permitting non-standard base-pairing at the 3rd anti-codon position.
Source: Rfam
GCCGUUGUAGCUCAGUGGUAGAGCAUUUGUCUUGUAUGCACCUCCGUGGCACUCCACGACAGGAUGCCCGCAAAGAAAAGGUCCCUGGUUCGAACCCGGGCUGCGGCA